This 460-nucleotide ribosomal RNA is filed under the name uncultured bacterium. Its description in RNAcentral is "partial 16S ribosomal RNA". It matches the Rfam family "Bacterial small subunit ribosomal RNA", at positions 338 to 795 of the family's 1533-position model. The record is from RNAcentral.
CCUACGGGGGGCAGCAGUGAGGAAUAUUGGUCAAUGGGCGUAAGCCUGAACCAGCCAAGUCGCGUGAGGGAUGAAGGUUCUAUGGAUCGUAAACCUCUUUUAUAAGGGAAUAAAGUGCGGGACGUGUCCCGUUUUGUAUGUACCUUAUGAAUAAGGAUCGGCUAACUCCGUGCCAGCAGCCGCGGUAAUACGGAGGAUCCGAGCGUUAUCCGGAUUUAUUGGGUUUAAAGGGUGCGUAGGCGGCCUUUUAAGUCAGCGGUGAAAGUCUGUGGCUCAACCAUAGAAUUGCCGGUGAAACUGGGGGGCUUGAGUAUGUUUGAGGCAGGGGGAAUGCGUGGUGUAGCGGGGAAAUGCUUAGAGAUCACGCAGAACCCCGAUGGCGAGGGCAGCCUGCCAAGCCAUGACUGACGCUGAUGCACGAAAGCGUGGGGAUCAAACAGGAUUAGAUACCCGGGUAGUC